UACAGAGGUCUCAAGCGUUGUUCGGAUUCAUUGGGCGUAAAGGGUGCGUAGGUGGUGAGGUAAGUCGGAUGUGAAAGCUCGGAGCUCAACUCCGAAAUGGCAUUGGAAACUACCUUGCUCGAGGGUUGGAGGGGGGACUGGAAUACUUGGUGUAGCAGUGAAAUGCGUAGAUAUCAAGUGGAACACCAGUGGCGAAGGCGAGUCCCUGGACAACUCCUGACACUGAGGCACGAAAGCUAGGGGAGCAAACAGG
This 253-nucleotide ribosomal RNA is filed under the name uncultured bacterium. RNAcentral describes it as "partial 16S ribosomal RNA". It matches the Rfam family "Bacterial small subunit ribosomal RNA", at positions 524 to 776 of the family's 1533-position model. The record is from RNAcentral.